GUAAAUUGUAAUUUAAAAGCCCUUUGUGAAGUACCUUUGGCUAAAAUGGUGUUUGGGGGACAAAGGGCUUUUGUGAAAAAAAAAAUAUCAAAAGAAAAAUAAAAAGAAAAAACAAAAAAAUGAAAACCAGCGAGGGCAGGCGGCAUCCGGCGGCCGGCGGCGACCCUCGGCGACCUCCGGCGACCCCUGAUCUGGGCCGGCGAGGUCGCGCGACGCCGUCGCGACCUCCGGCGACCCCGGAUCUGGGCCGGCGAGGUCGCGUGACGCCGUCGCGACCUCCGGCGACCCCGGAUCUGGG
RNAcentral lists this long non-coding RNA (298 nucleotides) under Eucalyptus grandis. RNAcentral describes it as "long non-coding RNA (EGRA_LNC007463)". Lineage: Eukaryota; Viridiplantae; Streptophyta; Magnoliopsida; Myrtales; Myrtaceae. The record is from RNAcentral.